Molecule: ribosomal RNA, 254 nt
Filed under: uncultured bacterium
Lineage: Bacteria
Description: partial 16S ribosomal RNA
Rfam family: Bacterial small subunit ribosomal RNA
Source: RNAcentral
UACGGGGGGGGCGAGCGUUGUUCGGAAUCACUGGGCGUAAAGGGCGCGUAGGCGGCCCGCACAAGUCUGCGGUGAAAACCCCCGGCUUAACCGGGGGCCGGCCGUGGAAACUGUCGGGCUGGAGGCUGGGAGAGGGCAGCGGAAUUCCCGGUGUAGCGGUGAAAUGCGUAGAGAUCGGGAGGAACACCGGCGGCGAAGGCGGCUGCCUGGACCAGUCCUGACGCUGAGGCGCGAAAGCCAGGGGAGCGAACGGG